AGGCAUCUUAACUAUGACAGAAAGGUCGACAUGAAGAUGCCCAAGCUGCGUAAGGAUGUCUAGGACUGCAGAAAUGCACAAUGAAUCCCCUACUUUAAAAAUGCUCGGUGAAGAGGAGACCACUGGGGAGUAAAAUGCAGUGUGAUGUGAGCAGCAGUGGAGAUGGGCGUGGACCGGCAGAGGAAGGAGUGAAGGAUUCACAUCUCAUAGGCUGCGGAGGCUUCCAGAAAUACCACCUGUUCCAGGUAUUCCAUACAACAGAUCCAGGUCAGAGUCUGUCACAAGGAAGCUGUUGGCCAGCCUGCCAAGGAGGAGGAAACACGAAGCUCUCGGUCCACCUGCGUUCUCUGUGAGGGAGCCUCCUACGGCACUGUUAUCUGUGGCACAGAUGGCAUUUUCAAACACAAAGUCACCACACUGUCUGAUCUUUGCCAAUACAAGGUUGCCAACAAGAUGUCAAGAGAGAAGGAAAAUCUACAAUGAAACUGUGAAGGAAAAAAAAAACCCUAAGAUGUUAUAAAAGUACAUUGUAACUGCAGUGGGAGUGGAAUUGACCGAGUGCAAACGCAGGGUGACCUCUGCAAGCUCGCAGCGCCAACGCGGGAACCCCAGCAUGGUCUGGCUGCAGAGUCUGUCUGAUUGUCCAA
Molecule: long non-coding RNA, 647 nt
Filed under: Homo sapiens (human)
Lineage: Eukaryota; Metazoa; Chordata; Mammalia; Primates; Hominidae
Description: HSALNT0338403
Source: RNAcentral